CCUACGGGAGGCAGCAGUGGGGAAUAUUGGGCAAUGGGCGCAAGCCUGACCCAGCAACGCCGCGUGAAGGAAGAAGGCUCUCGGGUUGUAAACCUCUUUUCUCAGGGACGAAGAAAGUGACGGUACCUGAGGAAUAAGCCACGUCUAACUACGUGCCAGCAGCCGCGGUAAUACGUAGGUGGCAAGCGUUAUCCGGAUUUAUUGGGUGUAAAGGGCGUGUAGGCGGGAGCGCAAGUCAGAUGUGAAUACUCAGGGCUCAACCCUGAGCCUGCAAUUGAAACUGUGUGUCUUGAGUGCUGGAGAGGCAAUCGGAAUUCCGUGUGUAGCGGUGAAAUGCGUAGAUAUAAGGAGGAACACC
This 358-nucleotide ribosomal RNA is filed under the name uncultured bacterium. Its description in RNAcentral is "partial 16S ribosomal RNA". It matches the Rfam family "Bacterial small subunit ribosomal RNA", at positions 338 to 710 of the family's 1533-position model. The record is from RNAcentral.